GACGAACGCUGGCGGCGUGCCUAAUACAUGCAAGUAGAACGCUGAAGGAGGAGCUUGCUUCUCUGGAUGAGUUGCGAACGGGUGGGUAACGCGUAGGUAACCUGCCUGGUAGCGGGGGAUAACUAUUGGAAACGAUAGCUAAUACCGCAUAAUAGCAGUUAUUGCAUGAUAACUGUUUGAAAGGUGCAAUUGCACCACUACCAGAUGGACCUGCGUUGUAUUAGCUAGUUGGUGGGGUAACGGCUCACCAAGGCGACGAUACAUAGCCGACCUGAGAGGGUGAUCGGCCACACUGGGACUGGGACACGGCCCAGACUCCUACGGGAGGCAGCAGUAGGGAAUCUUCGGCAAUGGACGGAAGUCUGACCGAGCAACGCCGCGUGAGUGAAGAAGGUUUUCGGAUCGUAAAGCUCUGUUGUAAGAGAAGAACGAGUGUGAGAGUGGAAAGUUCACACUGUGACGGUAUCUUACCAGAAAGGGACGGCUAACUACGUG
Molecule: ribosomal RNA, 495 nt
Filed under: uncultured bacterium
Lineage: Bacteria
Description: partial 16S ribosomal RNA
Rfam family: Bacterial small subunit ribosomal RNA
Source: RNAcentral